GAGCGGCGAACGGGUGAGUAACACGUGAGUAACCUGCCCCUGACUCUGGGAUAAGCCUGGGAAACCGGGUCUAAUACCGGAUAUGACCGCCUCCGGCAUCGGAUGGUGGUGGAAAGAUUUUUUGGUUGGGGAUGGGCUCGCGGCCUAUCAGCUUGUUGGUGGGGUAGUGGCCUACCAAGGCGACGACGGGUAGCCGGCCUGAGAGGGCGACCGGCCACACUGGGACUGAGACACGGCCCAGACUCCUACGGGAGGCAGCAGUGGGGAAUAUUGCGCAAUGGGCGGAAGCCUGACGCAGCGACGCCGCGUGGGGGAUGACGGCCUUCGGGUUGUAAACCUCUUUCAGCAGGGACGAAGGUGACGUGUACCUGCAGAAGAAGCGCCGGCUAACUACGUGCCAGCAGCCGCGGUAAUACGUAGGGCGCAAGCGUUGUCCGGAAUUAUUGGGCGUAAAGAGCUCGUAGGUGGCUGGUCGCGUCUGCCGUGAAAGCCCGCAGCUUAACUGCGGGUCUGCGGUGGAUACGGGCCGGCUAGAGGUAGGUAGGGGCAAGUGGAAUUCCU
RNAcentral lists this ribosomal RNA (561 nucleotides) under Nonomuraea sp. 410F12. RNAcentral describes it as "bacterial SSU rRNA". It matches the Rfam family "Bacterial small subunit ribosomal RNA", at positions 93 to 671 of the family's 1533-position model. Lineage: Bacteria; Bacillati; Actinomycetota; Actinomycetes; Streptosporangiales; Streptosporangiaceae. The record is from RNAcentral.